Molecule: non-coding RNA, 29 nt
Filed under: Homo sapiens (human)
Lineage: Eukaryota; Metazoa; Chordata; Mammalia; Primates; Hominidae
Source: RNAcentral
UCCGGUGGAGAAUUAAGAGGGGCCCAAGC